This 64-nucleotide transfer RNA is filed under the name Cucujus kempi. Its description in RNAcentral is "tRNA-Cys". The record is from RNAcentral. Lineage: Eukaryota; Metazoa; Arthropoda; Insecta; Coleoptera; Cucujidae.
GGUCUAAUAAUCAAUAAUGAUAUUAAAUUGCAAAUUUAAAAGUAAAUUUUUAAUUUUUAGACUU